This 203-nucleotide long non-coding RNA is filed under the name Ricinus communis (castor bean). RNAcentral describes it as "long non-coding RNA (RCOM_LNC002797)". Lineage: Eukaryota; Viridiplantae; Streptophyta; Magnoliopsida; Malpighiales; Euphorbiaceae. The record is from RNAcentral.
UUAAGAGUUAUAGAAGAUAGUUCUUAGGAGUCUUGUACUUAAAGAACUCUACUCUAUAUAUAUCUCUACAAACCUAGUUCUGACGAAGGAGGAGAGGUUUCUUCUAUCUGCUCUCUACUAUAUUUUCCAUCUAAUUUAUCAACCAUUAUUUUCUCUAUUGUUUAUCUUCCAUAAACACCUUAAUUUUAGUUUUUAUUGUUCUU